Molecule: ribosomal RNA, 516 nt
Filed under: uncultured bacterium
Lineage: Bacteria
Description: bacterial SSU rRNA
Rfam family: Bacterial small subunit ribosomal RNA
Source: RNAcentral
GAACUUAGCAGAGAUGCUUUGGUGCCUUCGGGAACUCUGAGACAGGUGCUGCAUGGCUGUCGUCAGCUCGUGUUGUGAAAUGUUGGGUUAAGUCCCGCAACGAGCGCAACCCUUAUCCUUUAUUGCCAGCGGUCCGGCCGGGAACUCAAAGGAGACUGCCAGUGAUAAACUGGAGGAAGGUGGGGAUGACGUCAAGUCAUCAUGGCCCUUACGAGUAGGGCUACACACGUGCUACAAUGGCGCAUACAAAGAGAAGCGACCUCGCGAGAGCAAGCGGACCUCAUAAAGUGCGUCGUAGUCCGGAUUGGAGUCUGCAACUCGACUCCAUGAAGUCGGGAUCGCUAGUAAUCGUGGAUCAGAAUGCCACGGUGAAUACGUUCCCGGGCCUUGUACACACCGCCCGUCACACCAUGGGAGUGGGUUGCAAAAGAAGUAGGUAGCUUAACCUUCGGGAGGGCGCUUACCACUUUGUGAUUCAUGACUGGGGUGAAGUCGUAACAAGGUAAGCGUAGUGCU